GUUACUUCCCGUUACCACAGGUGGCGUCGUUAGAAAUAUUUUGAUGAGAUCUCUAGAGAUACCUGUAAAAUUAUGCUUUCUAUCGCUGUUGACUUUAAAAUUGAGUUAUUAUAGGUGAAGCUUGAAAGAUCCAAGUUAAAAAUGUCUGACUUACCAAAGAUUGACAUUCCACAGAAGUCAGAAUGUGUGAAAGUUGUGGUGAGAUGUCGUCCACUAUCAGAGAAGGAAGUUCAGAAAGGAUUUGAAAGGGUGGUAGAGAUGAAUACUAAAAGAGGAGUGAUAGAAAUUAGAAAUCCAAAACUGCCUCCAUCAGAUCCAAAGAAAACCUUUACAUUUGAUACAGUUUAUGAUUGGAACUCUAAACAGAAAGAUUUGUAUGAGGAGACGUUUAGAGACCUGGUGGAGAAUGUUUUACAGGGCUUUAAUGGUACUAUAUUUGCUUAUGGCCAGACUGGGACAGGCAAAACACAUACAAUGCAAGGUCUAAAGAAUGACCCAGAGCAGCGAGGUGUGAUACCUAACUCAUUUGAACACAUAUUUAGUCAUAUAUCUAAUUCAGAGAACCAACAGUACCUGAUCAGAGCUUCAUACUUGGAAAUUUAUCAGGAGGAAAUACGGGAUUUACUGUCAAAGGACCAAAACAAACGAUUGGAGUUAAAAGAAAGGCCAGAUACAGGUGUAUAUGUGAAGGACUUGUCUUCAUUUGUAACCAAAAGUGUGAGAGAAAUUGAGCAUGUGAUGAAUGUGGGUAAUCAAAACAGAUCUGUUGGAGCUACAGACAUGAAUGAGCACAGCUCUAGAAGUCAUGCCAUCUUUAUCAUCACCAUAGAGUGUAGUGAGAUGGGUGAGGAUGAAGAAAAUCACAUCAGAGUGGGACGUCUCAAUCUUGUUGAUUUGGCAGGUAGUGAGAGACAGGAAAAAACUAAAUCUGAGGGUCAGAGAUUAAAAGAAGCUACAAAAAUCAAUUUAUCUCUGUCGGCCUUGGGUAACGUGAUCUCAGCGCUUGUUGAUGGCAAAAGUACACACAUACCUUACAGAGAUUCAAAACUUACCAGAUUAUUGCAAGAUUCUCUGGGUGGAAAUGCAAAGACAGUUAUGGUAGCUAAUAUAGGACCUGCUGAUUAUAACUUUGAUGAAACCAUGAGCACUCUCAGGUAUGCAAACAGAGCAAAGAAUAUCAAGAAUAAGCCAAAGAUCAAUGAAGAUCCUAAAGAUGCCUUGUUGAGAGAGUUCCAAGAGGAAAUAGCAAGACUGAAAGCAAAUCUAGCCGGAAAAGGAGGGCCAAAGAAGAAGAAAAGGAGGAAGCAUGCAAGAAGAAAUGAAAAUGGGGAAGUAAUCAGUGAUUCUGAAGGUGAUGAUGAAGAUGAGGAGGAAGGAGAAGGGAGUGAAGCAGAUGCCGAGGCGUACAUGCAGGAACAGCAAGCAAAACUAGAACAGGAGAAAGAAUCUAUCAUGAAUAACAAAAGCAUGAUUCAAACCGAAAAAGAUCGAAUAUUAAAUGAAAUUAAAGAGAAAGAAGGUAGAAUGAAGAAAGAAAAAGAAAACAGAGAUCAGCUGGAAUCUAAAAUAAAGGCAAUGGAGAGUAAAUUGUUAAUGGGAAAUAUAGUGGAUCAUACCAACCAGCAGCAGAGAGCUUUGGAACAGAGAAGAAAGGAAAUUGCUCAACAGAAGCAAGUGGAACGAGACAUUCAGCAAAAAUUAGAGGAGAAGGAAGAAUCUGCUGUGGAACUCCAGGAGACCUACGUUUCUCUGCAACAAGAAGUGGAAGUGAAAACCAAAAAGUUGAAAAAGUUGUUUGCCAAACUACAAGCAACAAAACAAGAAAUCCAAGACCUGCAGGAGGAACAUGUGAAGGAACGACAGGAGUUAGAACAGACACAGAAUGAACUUACACGAGAACUUAAGCUCAAGAUGUUAAUCAUUGAGAAUUUCAUUCCAUCUGAAGAGAAAACGAAACUCCAAAACCGAGCAAUUUAUGAUGAAGAUGAAGAUAUGUGGAUGUUAAAACCUCUUGCAAAUAAAAAUUCACAAACCAUGGCGAAGCGGCCAAAGUCUGCUUGUGGUAACAGAAGGCCAGUAUCAGAGUACGCCAAAAUGGCUGCUGCGAUGGGUGGCAAUCCAAGAUUUAAGGGUGAGAACAUUUUGAUGGUUGAACUGGAUAUGCCAAACAGAACUACACGAGACUAUGAUGGACCCCAGGUAGCACCAAGAAUACAGGCUGCGCUGGACGCUGCUCUCCAAGAUGAGGCUGAUAUUGAUCUUGAUGGAAGCCUGGCAAUUUUCAGUAGCAGUAAGUCGAAGAGAAAGGAAGCCAGUAAGUCACGGCCUAAAUCAGCCAAGAAAACUAAUGUGGAUUCUUCACAAGUGUUUCCUAAAGCAAGAGGCCUUGUGAAGCAAUGAGAAACUGUUGUGAAAUAGUGAGAAACUGCGGUGAAGCAAUGAGAAGUUAUUAUGAAGCAAGGAGAAAUUAUUGUGAAACAGCGAACAGUUUGUGAAAUGUAUAAAAACCAUUUGAGUAAAAAUACCAGUGAAAAACAGCGAGAAGAAAACUAUAAUAAUACUGGGUGUAAACCUCUGCUGAUAUAGCCGUAUGCAUCAUUUCAAAUCUCAUUUUGCAUAAUCACAAACCUGGUAAUGUUUAAGAAUCAUUUGACAUAGCGCUUGUUUAUGUAGUCAUAAAACAAAUUCAAGAAGUAGAAAUCUUUCUGUGUCGGGUAUACACAAAGAAAAUCUUUUGUAAGGUAUUUAUUACAGGUUUUCACAAAGAAUAAAAAACAAUGUAGCAAACUUUUUGCACAUUUACAAAGAACAUUGAAAUUGUUGAAUGGUAUCAUUGGCUUACUUGAACAGUCCUGAUUGUGUGCAAUGUAUUACCACUGCAUGUAGGAGAGGUUUUGAACUUAAAAUGCAGCUUAUUGGAAAUAUUUCACUGUUGGUUCACUGUUGGUUAUGGUUGUGCAAAUAAAAAAAAUGAUGAAGAACACCAAACAUUUACACUUUUUAGUCCUGGAACUUUUAUUGGCAUCGUUAUAAAAUCGGUCUUCAUUUAUGAAUUAAGGUAGAAAUCACUUGCAUUGUGCCUUUAGAUUUUCUAAAGUUAAUUGUUAGUUCAUGGAUAUUUAGAGGUUUUCUUUCUUUUUAAUGUGCAACUGAUUUUUUGUAAGAUCAAUUUUAGUGGAUGCUGCAGAGCAGGUAAAUUUUUGCACAGGCAUUAAGUGAUAUUUGCAUAAUUAACAAUUUGCAAGACAUGAGCGUUUGUGUUUUAGGACCUGAUGCAGAUCAAUGAUCACAAAUAUUUUGAAUUCAAAAGUGGCAUUAUUCACAAAUAUUAGUGAAAAAAAAAACAAUGGCAGAUAUUACCCAAUCUAUAGUAGUUCUUGAUUGUGUACAUAUCAUGAAAUGUGUACAUUUCUUGAAAUAUAUACAUAAAAAUAAUCGCAAAACAAUUUAUAUAUUAUGAUAGUGGUUGAUAUAAUAAUAUUCAAAAAUCUUAUUUAGUUGAAGUGUUUGACACACAUACACACUGCUUUUGAAUUGUCAAAUAUAGUUUUACAGCAGAUGCUGAUUUAAGUCACAUAUUGUCGCUUUGGCGCAAAAAGGGGGUACGUUAUUCUUUAUGUCAAUGCCGUUAUCCACUUCCUGUUCGGACUUGACGAAUUAUACAUUGUAACUUUAAUGCCUAACAUGUGCUGUUUCAUCACCAACCACAAUAUGACUGUGAUAUUUAUCCAUAUAAAUUUAUACAUGACAUUAGUGUACAUAUUUUUAUCAUUAUAUUUAUUACUAAAUUUGUCAUAUCAUAUAUUGUAAAAUCAUUGGCAUAUUUGUAGAAAUAGCCCUAGCGUCUUGUGUUUAGAAUGUAUAAAGUUUUGUUUGUGAUUUAUUUUGGUUGUUUAUAUGAUUUCUUAGCAAAAGCCCCCAAUUAAUAGGACCCUGUAUUUCAGUCUCGUUCACAGAGUUGUCAUUCCUGACUUUACAUUCAUUACUGUCAAUGUCUGCAAAGUAGUAUGUCUGCAAUGAAGAACAUCAGUUUACUGUCAAAUCCCAUGGUUGUAAAUCAAAGAUGUCAAAUGGAAAAGUGGAUUAUCAGUCUAAAUUGUUUUACUUUUGCUUAAGACAUGUUGAAAUUAGAACUAAAUAUCAAAUUUAGAAGUGGGCUCAUUGACAUGUGGCUGUUUUAAUACAGGGACCUGCUAAGACAGUUUCAACAGUGUAUUAGAAUUUUUGUGGAAUAAAUUAGGUAAAAUCCUAUUGACCGUACAAGUUUGCACCUCUAAGUCAAAUAUUCUUGAACAGAAUUGAAUUUAGGCAUUGCCAAAUGUGAAUGUCUCUGCAGUAGAAGUGGAAGAAUGACAGCUGUGUGGGAGAUUGCCUAAACUUUUGUGACAAAGCUUAAAAACGUGAAAAUAUCUUGCUGUAACUGAUAUAAAUGUCAAAAAUGUUUGUGAAAGGUUUACAUUUUCAGAGACUUUCUGUUUAAAAUCUCCCAUUUUGUAAGUUAAUGUAUGUAAUGAAAGAACUGAUACAUAGCAUAUUAGUAGUAUAUAACAUGUUUUAAUUUUUGUAACUAUUUCUUUUGAGAUAGAGAAAAAUGCUUAAUAUCAUGUUCGUUUUUGGGGGAAAAAAAAACUGAAAUCUACAUUUGAAACGUUGCCUGUUGAGAAGCGCUGUGAAAUCUUUUGAUAUUGUGGACUUCAAAUUUCAGGAUUUCGUCCAUAUGAUGGUUUCAUGUGGGCUUAUAUUUAUGUAUUCCAAUUGUUAAACUGAAGAAAAAGUUAACUUAAUGUGUUAGGCGUGACUUAAUUUCAUGGACUGACCAAACAGGAAAAUCCAGGAAAAUUAGUUCCUCUCAGAAACUGAAGGAUCUCACAGUUUUUGAUAAAUAUUAGAAUUGGAAAUAUUUAUGAAUGGUACUGGCCUCCCAAAAAAAUGUUGAAUGUAUGUUUGUUUUAUUUUUUUCUCAAAUUUCAUUUUGUGCGUUAUAAUGUAGUUGUUAUUCCGUUGUGCCUGAUUGUUAGUUAUCUCUUUGAUGUGGAAGAUGACUGUAGAUUGCUGUAAGGUUGUGAAAUAGAUUGAAGAAAUUCUCACAUAUCUCAAUAUCAUUGUACAUUUACAGGUAUUUUCUCUGCUUGCUGGCAUACAACUUAAUUUAUUUCACAUUCUGUUGACUGGCUAACAAAAUGGUUGUAUACUUUCAAUUAUUUGCAUAUUUUGGUACGUAUAGUGAAAGUAAUGCUGUUAAUGUAGUUAUGAUGCUAUUGAUCAUUGUUACGGAGCGCAGAGAAAGGUCAGUGUUAUAUCUUCUUUUGAAUUUGAAGUUUAUUUUGCAAACUUCCUUAAUAUAUACCCGUAUAUACUCGCGUAUAAGGCGCCCUCGCUUAUAAGACGCAUCCUGAUAUUGGACUAUCGAUCGGGGAGGUUUUGCACUGACCCUCGUAUAAGACGCAGUCAUAUUUUUAUACAAACUACAUCAGAAAUUUGUAGAGAUGCAUUAUUUUCCCCAACAUUCUAUGAUUUGCAAUAGAAAAUAGCAGAAAAUGGACAAUUUUAUUGUAAAAAUGCAGAAUUUAAAUGAAUUAGUAACAGCGGAAAAAGGUUAAAGAAAGGCCGAAAUUUUGACAAUAUUCGCCGAUUUUAUUUUUAAAAGAACUUGCAGACUUGUUUUAUAUUAUGUUAAAUAAAAUAAAUUAUUUUAAAAUCAAGUUCGUGUGUAAAAAUGCAAUGUAGUAACUUCAAAACGGCGGAAAAUUGACGAUUUUCGCCGAUUUUAUUUUUGAAGAAACUUGAAAAUCUGUUUCAUAAUAUGUAGAAUAAAAUAAAGUAUUCUAAAAUCCACUUUCAUUGGUAAUAAUAUGCACAAAAUAUCUCCGAAACGGGAGAAAUUACGUCUAGAAAUGUGACGAUAUUCGCCCAUUUUACUCAUAAUGCUUAGAAACGCUGAAUGUUUGGCCAUGUUUCCAUAACAGUAACACAGAAUGUUUAGGAAAAUAAUGUAUUUCUUGCAAUUAUUCGAGGAUACGCAAUUUUUAAAUUGCUUUCAAAGGAUCUCCAAUACAUGUUUAGGAUUUUUCAUUCAAGCAUGCGCUGCAUACAAUGAGAAAAUUAAUGAGGAUAAAAUAUCCUCACCAAUUUUCCCAAAGUAAUUAACGCAAGUUCAAAAAAGCAAACAAACAAACAAAGCAUAUUACAUAUUUUAAUUUUAUGUGACAUACAGUAACUAAUAAUGCAUUAAUUUAUCACAUAUUUCAAACACAAAAAAAACUGACAAUAACGUAUCGAUUGAUUACUGAUAAGAUAGCAAAAAAGGUGGCGAGAUUAGGAUACAUGUACUUUUAUGGCAGUAAAUCUGACACAUUUGUCAAUCAAAUAUGGAUAUGCCCACUUUGAAAUGUUAUCCAAUCAUAUUCCAGUUCCGAGUAGCUAGACAUCCCUACUGUACCUUCAUUUGACUAGAGGGCAGAAUUAAAAUAAUUGCAGCCGACUAUUCUAUGAAGCCGCCAAUUAACAUCAAUCAGUGUUUAUGAUACAUCUAUUUCUAUACAUGUGUUUAUUUAACAGUUUGCACCUUCAGAUGAUUUAUAAUGGGUGCGUUUUAACAGUUUACACUUGCAACAAUUAUAGGUACCGUAUCAUAUGCAAUUGGGGAUAAUUAACUUUUAAUAACUCUCUGUUUGCGGGCGGUGAAAAAGUAUUUUCUUUGCUCAAUUAUAUCAGUCAUUUCCAAUUUAAGUAAAGCUAAUUCGUCAGAUUUUCUGAAAGAAUUUUUGAUUUUAAAAGAAAAAAAAUACAUUUGUAAAUAAAAAAUACUUCAGAUAUUAAACUACCAAAUCGUAAAGUAAGUAAAUAAUAGAUCGUUAUUGAGGACCGAAACACGGCGCUUGUCCGUUUAGAUUUUAAUACCGAUAUGCAAUGGCUGACGAAAAACGUAAGUAGCGGGUUGCAGACUCGGAAAAAAAUACAUUUAUAAAUAAAAUAUACUUUUGAUAUUAAUCUAUCAAAUCGUAAAAUAGGUAAAUAAUAAAUCUUUAUAGCGGACCGAAAUACGGUACGUGUCCGUAAAGUUUUUAGCACUGCUAUGCGCAAUGGCUGCCGAAAAACGAAAGUACAUGUCUGCAGACGCGGAAAUGAGAUGUCCUGAGCUGUAAACUCGGGACUUUUUUAAAAUUUUCACUUAAUUUUCUUGUAGUAUGCGCUUAUAAGACGCAUACCCUUCUAGGAAACGAAGAUAUGAUCCCCAAAACUGCGUCUUAUACGCGAAUAUAGACGGUAGAGUUAAAAGGGAACAAGCAAUUGUGGGUUGUGUAUGAUGAAUUGCACCAAUUUUGUGUAAUUUGUCUGUAUUAUUUGGAUUUGAAUUUUUCAGUAUCAGUCAUCUAAUUUGUCAGAAUCUGCCAUUAAAGAAUCUGAAGUGAAUGCCAACCUUUUUUAGCUCGACUAUUCGAAGAAUAGUCUAGCUAUUCUACUCACCCUGGCGUCGGUGUCGGCGUCACACCUUGGUUAAGUUUUUGCAUGCAAGUACAUACAGCCAUCAAUUAAAGGCAUAUAGCUUUGAAACUUAUUUUUUCUUUUUCUAGAUCAAUUACCAACCUCUCUGGGUCAAAUCCCAUAACUCUGACAUGUAUUUUGAGCAAAUUAUGCCCCCUUCUGGACAUAGAAAAUUUUGGUUAAAGUUUUACAUGCAAGUUACUAUCUCCAAAACUAAUGCAGAUAUUGAUUUGAAACUUCACAUGUGUCUUCGGGGUUAUAAAACUAGUUGAUAGCAGCAAGUCCCAUAACUCUGACCUUCAUUUUGGCUAAAUUAUGCCCCCUUUUGGACUUAGCAAAUUCUGGUUAAAGUUUUGCGUGCAAGUACAUAUAGCUAUUACUUAAAGGCAUAUAGAUUUGAAACUUAUUUUUUCUUUUUCUAGAUCAAUUACCAACCUCACUGGAUCAAGUCCCAUAACUCUGACAUGUAUUUUGAGCAAAUUAUGCCCCCUUUUAGACUUAGAAAAUUUUGGUUAAAGUUUUACAUGCAAGUUACUAUCUCCAAAACUAAUGCAGAUAUUGAUUUGAAACUUCACACGUGUCUUCAGGGUUAUAAAACUAGUUGAUAGCAUCAAGUCCCAUAACUCUGACUUUCAUUUUUUCCAAAUUAUGCCCCCUUUUGGACUUAGCAAAUUCUGGUUAAAGUUUUGCGUGCAAGUACAUAUAGCUAUUACUUAAAGGCAUAUAGAUUUGAAACUUAUUUUUUCUUUUUCUAGAUCAAUUAUUAACCUCACUGGAUCAAGUCCCAUAACUCUUACAUGUAUUUUGAGCAAAUUAUUCCCCUUUUUGGACUUAGAAAAUCCUGGUUAAAGUUUUGCGUGCAAGUACAUACAGCAAUUACUAAAAGGUAUAUAUAUUUGAAACUUAUUUUUUCUUUUUCUAGAUCAAUUACCAACCUCACUGGGUCAAGUCCCAUAACUCUGGCAUGUAUUUUGGGCAAAUUAUGCCCCCUUUUGGACUUUGAAAAUUCUGAUUAAAGUUUUACAUGCGAGUUUCUAUCUCCAAAACUUAUGCAGAUAUUGAAUUGAAGCUUCACAUGUGCCUUCGGGGUUAUAAAACUAGUUGAUAGCAGCAAGUCCCAUAACUGAUAUGCAUUUUGGUCAAAUUUUACCCCCUUUUGAACUUAAAACUCUUUUGAUAUUUAACCUUUUUGGGUAAUAUUUUCCUGCUUCUGGGACAAUAUUUCGAAUAGUCGAGCUUGGCUGUCUUACGGACAGCUCUUGUUUUUUUGGCGUCCAUGUAAAUUAUCAGCCAUUUCAAAAACAUGUUUCAGAUUCAAUCUAAGUUAAAUUUAGUAACGGUGUAUAAAUUUGAAAUUUUGGCACAGUUUGUGCUUUAUGCUGUUAAAAAAUGCAGAAAAGUUACGUUAUUACUCACUAAUCUUGAGCGUUAACAGAAUACUUUGUUUUAUAUAAUGAAUCUCCAGAUUUGUUUUUUUUUUUUUAGAAUGGAAUGUACUUUACUGGUAAGUAAGUUUUGAUAGAAUUGUUAUUCAGGAAUAGGGGCCUCUGCAGCCGAGUGGUUAAGGCUGCUAACAUUGAAUCUCUUGCCCCUUACCACUGUGGGUUUUGAAAUGUCUUGGGGUGUAGAAUUCUUUCAUGUGAGGAUGCCAUCUAGCUGACUUACAGAAGAUUGGUGAUUCUAGCCAGAUGACCAUCAGAUUCUGUGCCUGAAAUAAUGCCUUUAGGGGCAUCGGGGCUCUUCCUCCACCAUUAAAAGCUGGAAAAAUCAUAGGAUUAAUAAUUGUGUCGAUGUGAUGUUAAACCCAACAAAAACAUGCAUGCUGGUUACAAUUUCCAGAGUAUUCAUAAAACAGACAAACCAGCAAUAGAUAGAAACUAUUUACUAGUAAAGUUGCAGGUGUUCCAUUCUUUGUUUGCUUUUCACACUGGUAAAGUUGAUACUUGUAUAAUGUUGUAUGUUUGAGAGAGUGCUCUAGUUUUCAUGUUCAUUUUUCUAGUCUGAUUUAAAUCACUUUAUUUUCUCAGUAUCUUUGAUCACCACUGGUAAUUUCAUUUCAGAUACUUGGUAGAAUAAACAAUUGUGUUAAUGACUUCUUUAAAUCAUACAUGGAAAACAACAUAAAGUAUUUAUGAACCAUUUGUACUUGUAUUUAUAUUGAAAGAAAAACAUUGAUUGGCAGCAAAGAAUUUUUAUUUCAAAUUCUACCUCAUUAAUUUGCUGCUUUGGAACCAAUCUUUUGAAAGAGAUGUGUAUGCCUUGUAUAGACAAUGUAAUUCUAAUUCUGACAAAUUUUUGAAAUAUUUAAGAAAAUAUCUAAAUCCACAUAUGCUUAAAGUAUUUCUUUCGAUCAUUUCUGUUACUAUAUCAUUUAUUCUGAUAAUUUUUAGCUCAAGUGUUCUUGUUUAGUGUAUUUACAUUACUGUUUAUAGAUCUAAAAUUAAUAUUUACUUUUUUUUCAUUUAAUCCGUCCUUUGUUGUUGUUUUUUUACGUUUAGUAAGUUUGUAUAAUUAUGAUGAUUUUUGGGCUAUGUUUUUUUUUCAUUUUUCAGAUUUUUAGCUCACUUGAGCACAAAGAGAAGUACUCUUCAUAAGACUUUGUCAGAAUAUUUGUCUUUGUCUAGGUAAAGUCCAAAACUAGGUUACUUUAGGUAGGUUGCUAGGUCAAAUCACAGAAAAACAUUGUUAAUACUGUAGAGGCCACAUUUUCUACGUAAUAUUCAUAAAAGUUUUUCAGAAUGUUACUCUGUAUAAUCUAGGUCAAGUCCAAAACUUGGUAACCUUAAGUAAAAAAGUAGGUCACUAUGUCAGUUAGUAGAAAAAAUAACCGCCAAAACUAGAUGCCCAAUUUAGUACUUGAUCUUCAUUGAAGUUAGUCAAAAUGUUUGUCUCUAUAAAAUUUAUGUCCGGUAUGAAACUGGAUUAUCUAAAAUCAAAAACAAGGUCACUAGGUCAAAUCGUAGACUAGUAAAGCCUUGUUAACACUCAAGAAGCCCAAUUUUCUACUUCACCUACAGGCAACUUUUUCAGAAUGUGUGUCUGUUUUAAACUUAGGAAAAAUUAUCUGCGCCACUUGAGUAAAAAACAAGGUCAGUAGGUCAGAUCAUCAAAAAACUUGAUUAAUGAUCUACCCAAUAUACAUACAACAUGGUCAGAAUAUUUAUUUUAAUGAAAUCAAGGACCAUUCAGAUACUAGAUUAUCAAGGGUAAGAACUAGGUCAGCUGAGAGAUACAGGGCUUUCAUGAUUGUAAUAGUGCUAUGUGGUUUAAAAAAAAAAUGAUGCUAUGUAAUUUAUAAAUACUGGGAAUUUUGUGAAAGAAAUAUUACUAUACUAAAGGUUAUUUAUUAAAGGGUAUAUUUUUAUAGUUGGGCCUCAUUACACGGAGUAUCAUUAUAAGAAUAUCGGACAAUUGGUUGGAGAGAGUAUAAAAUUAUUAAGUUGUCUUUAAUUAUCUAAUUUAAUGUUACUUCCAUUUUUAUAGCAAAGAAGUGUUAUUGUCGAUUUUUUAUAAGUCAUGUCAUUGUAUCUGAUCACAUUUUCUUAAAUAAAAUGCCACUGGAAUUAAUAAAGUUACAAGAUA
Molecule: RNA transcript, 11067 nt
Organism: Mercenaria mercenaria
Lineage: Eukaryota; Metazoa; Mollusca; Bivalvia; Venerida; Veneridae
Gene name: kinesin-II 95 kDa subunit-like
Exons: 24
Source: RefSeq, a predicted model, not a curated record